Long non-coding RNA from Capsicum annuum, 1490 nucleotides. RefSeq lists it as uncharacterized. The transcript has 2 exons. Lineage: Eukaryota; Viridiplantae; Streptophyta; Magnoliopsida; Solanales; Solanaceae. The record is from RefSeq and is a predicted model, not a curated record.
CCCUCCGACCCGGCCCAGUCCCAUAAUCUUUAUCCUCUUUUCUUCAAGAACCUACGCGUACAACCAUCCAAGAACAAGAAUACAACGUACAACAACAAUUCCUAGCUUCAGUAAAACAACAUUCAAACCCACCGAUCCAUUCGACCGAAAUCCAUCCAAAUCAACCCAUUUUCCCCCAAUUCCCCUUAUCUCAACCCGCAUCCAACCCGUUUUCUGCUUCCUCUUCACAGUCAUGUGCUUUCCCACACGAUUUUGGUAUGAAAUCUUCUAGAAAGAGGGUGAGGUGUUACCCCCAACGUCCGAAUUCCGCAAUUUUUGGGAUAACGUGUACGGAUUCGUACCUGUUUGGCAAAUUUUCAUUGGUUCUUGGGAAAAUGAUCCAUUUCCCCCAAUGGUUGUUGGCCAUCUGUUGAAAAUCCGUUCAAGAAAAUCAAUAGGGGUACAAUUUGUGAGCAUUCUCCUCUUUUCGAAUUCAAAAACGAACCCUCAACCCCCCCUUUUAUAAAUAGCUCUCUUUAGGGUCUGAAGGGGGAGUUUUUUUCUUUCUUUUGGGAAAUUUUUCUUUCUUUUGAGGACUGUUCCUAGGCUUUUAGGUUAAAAAUUAGGGUUUCAAAAAGGGGGAAAUCUUCUAAGUAAGUUUCUGAUUUCGAAAACAGAGAGAGGAAAAAUUUUUGGAUUUUUUUUUAAUGAAUUCAAGUUGAAAGUCUUAGUUGAAAAUCUGGGAGGUUUCAAAAUUUCUAAGAGGAAAAAGAAAAAGGGCGCUCUGUUGGUGGUCGACGUCGCGAGAUUCUGGUAGCGACAUGUUUGCUGAUAGCUCGUCGUCCCGUUUGCUGCCCCGGAGGAGGUUCUAGGGUUGGGAAAAUUUGAAGAAGGAAAAAUCUUUUCUGAGCUGUUUGGGUUCGAGUGAAGAAACCUCUCUUCGGAAACCUUCUAGUGGUGGUGGUUGAGCUUUUGUUAUAGGUUCAAGUCCCGUUUGCUGCUUUUAAAUAGAGGUUGCACUUCGGGGACAAAUUAAACUGGCUACCACUAGAGGGUCACACGUUACAAAACUCGUCGCAUCUCGCCGACAGCAACUGCAAGGAGUUGAAAAGAAAAUGCAAGAAGAAUUUAAUCGAGAGAGAUCUCAGUGGAUCCGUGAAAGAGGAAUAUUGCGAGAACAGUUGGAGGUUACUUCUGCUCGUGAACAGCGUGCAAGAGAGAUGGUUGAUUUUCGAGAUCGACAGGCCCAGGAAUGGGAUCAGGCCUUUAGUUCCCUUCGAGGUAAGUCCACCGUGUAGCACAAGAUACUGCCAGAAUGGGUUUGGAUUAUCAGCAGUUGGAUCAUGAGGACUUUUUAGCACAAGUACCAGCUUUCGGACAGCGUCUCACUACUUCAUUGGAGGAUAUAUAUUUGAGUUUGGGAGGACAUAUUAAGUCGAAGUCUCCUUGAAUGAAUAGUUGUUUUCAUUUUCAUAGUUUUUCAUUUUCAGUUUUAAAACUUAUUGUUUAGA